Hylaeus anthracinus is the source of this 1780-nucleotide long non-coding RNA. RefSeq lists it as uncharacterized. Lineage: Eukaryota; Metazoa; Arthropoda; Insecta; Hymenoptera; Colletidae. The record is from RefSeq and is a predicted model, not a curated record. The transcript has 3 exons.
CGAGAGCAUUAAUCUAUUCUAGCUUCAUAAAGAGAACUUCGUCGACGAUUUUGUAGCCUGCUCGCCAAACGAGCACUUCGGAGUAAAUUGAUGGAUCCUCUUGACCUGGCUGAGGACCCUCCGUAAAUUGCUCGUAAAUUUUUAUUUAUUCCGCCGCAAAUAAAAUUCCGGGUCAAAGGGAGGGUGCGAAAGAAGAUGAUAUGGGCUUCGAUAAAAGCGAAAGAGAGAGAAAACGAUUUGUCUAGGUUGGUAGCUUCGAUUUCCCUGCACUCGCAUCACCGUUAUUCGUCGAUUCUUAAUAGCGACGACGAUUUUCUACAUUCGUAAUUUUUCAUCGACAUCGAGCUGAAGUCUUGAAAAAUUACUGACAUCACUAUUUCGGAGGGUAGUACGAAACGUGAUUAUUUGUUUUUUUUUCCUUUAUCGUUGUGCAUUUUUACUAGUUUUUACUGUUUACUAUACCACGUGUACAUUAUAAGCGAUGAUAUGAACAAAAUUGAAAAAGAUCAAUAAUGGCUAGUUUUUUAUGAUUUUUGGUAAAAGUAACUAAUUAACUGGCGUGCUUCGAAUGGAAUGCAUUAUAUUUAAUCUAUUGUGACAGAAAUCCAAACUGAACGUUUAUAUUGACAAUUGAUAUGGAAGUGUUGAGUUUGUAUAAAAUAAACACACAUUGGUAACUUAUAAUUACUAUUUAAUGUAAGAACUCGAAUAUAACAUAAUUAAUGUGAAACACGCGGACACACGGACUCGACGUACCGAGGACAAUAUCUAGAGACGCGGUAGCUUCUCGACGCCAAGUACAUGAACAAUUAUAAAGCCACCCCGUAUAUAACGUGGCGCUACCGCGUACCUUUUACUCGUAAAACUACGAUUCCAACCUAACCUAAAAGUUCUUUCAUUAAUAUCUCAUCACGCCUGCAAUAUUUUCGAAAUUUAAAGGCAUUUGUCUGAUGUAAAUCGCUUGUAACCUUUCGAAUAAAACCAAAAUCAAUCAAAUCGGCCCAUGUACAACUGAGAUAUCGUAAUAUCAUUUAUUCGAUUUUUUGUCAACACUUAGCCAACAGGAGCCAAGGCUGAUCGUCGAUUCGUCGACUCUCGGAAUCACUCGGCAAGGCUCGUCGGCCGCCAUAAGAAGUACUUGUGUGUAUCGUUUGACAGAUAUAGGUUAGUAUCGUUUGACAGAUUCGUUUGACAGCUAUAGGUUACAGUGGGGAACAGCUGGAUGCAGGUUAUUAAGACAGAAGAAAAAAAUUUCAUCAGAUACUGCAAGAAAUAAUGCACAAGAGACAGUAAUGUUGCCUUGUAAUACGUGUGUGCACGCAUUAAACAACCAUCAUAGUUGUUUUACCAGUGCGACAUAUUUUUUACCUAUUACAACAAGAAGAGGAGCAUAUAACAUCAUCAAUAAAAGGUUUUUGAUUGAUCUAAGCAGCUACAGUCAUUCCAAUAAGAGGAAUCGAAAGGAUGAAUUGCUUGUUUCAUGAAGCAAAUAAUUUGCUGACAAAGCAUCAAUAUUUUGGUGCUCACCAAAAAUAGGAGCUGCCACUGUGAAAUUCUAAUACUUUAUCUGAGGAAAGGAUAUCUGGUAGUAAUUAUUAAAAUACCACAAGAAAAAUCAUGCAAGUAUUACAGGAAAUACAAUAAAGUUUGACAGGUAUAUUGAAAUUGGUCAAUUAAAAUAUACUACGACCUGGCAGAGUGUACAAUGGAAGGAAUUAAGUGAUCUGUAUAUAAUAUAGUUGAAGCAUAAGAUGAUGCGGUGUGCAUAACAAAUUUGCUG